UCCGUUUGAUCCUGGCGGAGGUUACUGCUAUCGAGGUUCGACUAAGCCAUGCGAGUCGAAUGUAGCAAUACAUGGCGAACUGCUCAGUAACACGUGGACAACCUGCCCUUAGGACGGGGAUAAACCCGGGAAACUGGGUAUAAUACCCGAUAGGUCUCGAUUGCUGGAAUGCAUCGAGAUUUAAAGCUCCGGCGCCUAAGGAUGGGUCUGCGGCCUAUCAGGUAGUAGUGGGUGUAGCGUACCUACUAGCCUACGACGGGUACGGGUUGUGAGAGCAAGAGCCCGGAGAUGGAUUCUGAGACACGAAUCCAGGCCCUACGGGGUGCAGCAGGCGCGAAAACUUUACAAUGCUGGCAACAGCGAUAAGGGAACCUCGAGUGCCAGGUUACAAAUCUGGCUGUCGAGAUGCCUAAAAAGCAUUUCAUAGCAAGGGCCGGGCAAGACCGGUGCCAGCCGCCGCGGUAACACCGGCGGCUCGAGUGGUAACCGUUAUUAUUGGG
This 500-nucleotide ribosomal RNA is filed under the name uncultured methanogenic archaeon. Its description in RNAcentral is "bacterial SSU rRNA". It matches the Rfam family "Archaeal small subunit ribosomal RNA", at positions 1 to 508 of the family's 1478-position model. Lineage: Archaea; Methanobacteriati; Methanobacteriota. The record is from RNAcentral.